This 844-nucleotide ribosomal RNA is filed under the name uncultured Acidobacteriota bacterium. RNAcentral's name for it is "bacterial SSU rRNA". It matches the Rfam family "Bacterial small subunit ribosomal RNA", at positions 58 to 905 of the family's 1533-position model. The record is from RNAcentral. Lineage: Bacteria; Pseudomonadati; Acidobacteriota.
CAAGUCGAGUGCGCGGUUGUAGCAAUACAACUGGCGCACGGCGCACGGGUGCGUAACACGUGGGCAAUCUGCCCUUCGAUGGGGAAUAUCUUCGGGAAACCGAAGCGAAUUCCGCAUAACAUUCCUUGGACUUCGGUUCGAGGACUCAAAGCCGCAAGGCGUCGAAGGAGGAGCCCGCGCCCGAUUAGCUAGUUGGUAGGGUAACGGCCUACCAAGGCAAUGAUCGGUAGCUGGUCUGAGAGGAUGGCCAGCCACACUGGAACUGAGACACGGUCCAGACUCCUACGGGAGGCAGCAGUGGGGAAUCUUGCACAAUGGGCGAAAGCCUGAUGCAGCGACGCCGCGUGGGGGAUGAAGCAUCUCGGUGUGUAAACCCCUUUCGACCCGGAAGAAUGCCUCGCAAGAGGACUGACGGUACGGGUAUAAGAAGCCCCGGCUAACUACGUGCCAGCAGCCGCGGUAAGACGUAGUGGGCCAGCGUUGUUCGGAAUUACUGGGUGUAAAGGGUUCGUAGGCGGUGCGGCAAGUUGGGAGUGAAAUCUCUGGGCUCAACCCAGAGGCUGCUUCCAAAACUGCUGUGCUUGAGUGUGGGAGAGGCGCGUGGAAUUGCAGGUGUAGCGGUGAAAUGCGUAGAUAUCUGCAGGAACACCCGUGGCGAAAGCGGCGCGCUGGACCACUACUGACGCUGAGGAACGAAAGCUAGGGGAGCAAACAGGAUUAGAUACCCUGGUAGUCCUAGCCCUAAACGAUCAGGACUUGGGGUGCCACCCGUUCGGGUGUCGUCCCGGAGCUAACGCGUUAAGUCCUGCACCUGGGGAGUACGGUCGCAAGACUGAAACUCAAA